AAGGAGGCUCUCUGGUCCUCCCGUUCGACAGAUAGCCGCAUCUUCUCAGGCAGCGCCAGCACCAUCUCCCAGACACCAUGGUGAAAGUGAAGGCCGGAAUAAACGGCUUUGGCCGUAUUGGGCGCCUGGUCACCAGGGCUGCUUUUAACUCUGGCAAAGUGGAUAUUGUCGCCAUCAACGACCCCUUCAUUGACCUCAACUACGUGGUCUACAUGUUCCAGUAUGACUCCACCCAUGGCAAGUUCCAUGGCACAGUCAAGGCGGAGAACGGGAAGCUUGUCAUCAAUGGCCAGCCCAUAACCAUCUUCCAGGAGCGAGAUCCCACCAAAAUCAAAUGGGGUGAAGCGAACGCUGAUUACGUCGUGGAGUCCACUGGCGUCUUCACUACCCUGGAGAAGGCUGGGGCUCACCUAGAUGGGGGUGCCAAAAGGAUCAUCAUCUCUGCCCUCUCUGCUGACACCCCCAUGUUUGUGAUGGGCGUGAACCACGACGAGUACCAAAACAACCUCACCAUUGUCAGCAAUGCCUCCUGCACCACCAACUGCUUAGCCCCCCUGGCCAAGGUCAUCCAUGACAACUUUGGCAUCGUGGAGGGACUCAUGACCACAGUCCUCCUCACGACGCAGUUUCCAUGCCAGAGCCCCUGAAGAAUGGGAGGGGCCUAGGGAGCCCCACCUUGUCAUGUACCAUCAAUAAAGUUCACUGUACUAGGCCAAAAAAAAAAAA
Microcebus murinus (gray mouse lemur) is the source of this 726-nucleotide non-coding RNA. The record is from RefSeq and is a predicted model, not a curated record. Lineage: Eukaryota; Metazoa; Chordata; Mammalia; Primates; Cheirogaleidae.